RNAcentral lists this ribosomal RNA (430 nucleotides) under uncultured soil bacterium. Its description in RNAcentral is "bacterial SSU rRNA". It matches the Rfam family "Bacterial small subunit ribosomal RNA", at positions 26 to 451 of the family's 1533-position model. The record is from RNAcentral.
AGAUUGAACGCUGGCGGCAUGCCUAACACAUGCAAGUCGAACGGGAGUAGCAAUACUCUAGUGGCGGACGGGUGAGGAAUACGUAGGAAUUUGCCCUUAAGUGGGGGAUAACCCGGGGAAACCCGGAUUAAUACCGCAUGACCUCGAAAGAGCAAAGUGGGGGAUCGCAAGACCUCACGCUUUUGGAGAAGCCUACGUCGGAUUAGCUAGUUGGUGAGGUAAUGGCUCACCAAGGCGACGAUCCGUAACUGGUCUGAGAGGAUGAUCAGUCACACCGGAACUGAGACACGGUCCGGACUCCGUACGGGAGGCCAGCGAGUGGGGAACUAGUUGGACAAGUGGGCGCAAGCCUGGACUCCGAGGCAAGUCGCCGACGUGUAGUGAAGAAGGUCCCGUUGGGUUAGUAAACGCGUAACGUUUAAGGUUAGGG